This 492-nucleotide ribosomal RNA is filed under the name uncultured bacterium. RNAcentral describes it as "partial 16S ribosomal RNA". It matches the Rfam family "Bacterial small subunit ribosomal RNA", at positions 29 to 507 of the family's 1533-position model. The record is from RNAcentral.
AGUGAACGCUGGCGGUAGGCCUAACACAUGCAAGUCGAACGGCAGCACAGUAAGAGCUUGCUCUUACGGGUGGCGAGUGGCGGACGGGUGAGGAAUACAUCGGAAUCUACUUUUUCGUGGGGGAUAACGUAGGGAAACUUACGCUAAUACCGCAUACGACCUACGGGUGAAAGCAGGGGAUCUUCGGACCUUGCGCGAUUGAAUGAGCCGAUGUCGGAUUAGCUAGUUGGCGGGGUAAAGGCCCACCAAGGCGACGAUCCGUAGCUGGUCUGAGAGGAUGAUCAGCCACGCUGGAACUGAGACACGGUCCAGACUCCUACGGGAGGCAGCAGUGGGGAAUAUUGGACAAUGGGCGCAAGCCUGAUCCAGCCAUACCGCGUGGGUGAAGAAGGCCUUCGGGUCGUAAAGCCCUUUUGUUGGGAAAGAAAAGCAGCAGGUUAAUACCCCGCUGUUCUGACGGUACCCAAAGAAUAAGCACCGGCUAACUUCGUG